AUUGAACGCUGGCGGCAGGCCUAACACAUGCAAGUCGAGCGGCAGCGGAAAGUAGCUUGCUACUUUGCCGGCGAGCGGCGGACGGGUGAGUAAUGUCUGGGAAACUGCCUGAUGGAGGGGGAUAACUACUGGAAACGGUAGCUAAUACCGCAUAACGUCGCAAGACCAAAGAGGGGGACCUUCGGGCCUCUUGCCAUCAGAUGUGCCCAGAUGGGAUUAGCUAGUAGGUGGGGUAACGGCUCACCUAGGCGACGAUCCCUAGCUGGUCUGAGAGGAUGACCAGCCACACUGGAACUGAGACACGGCCCAGACUCCUACGGGAGGCAGCAGUGGGGAAUAUUGGACAAUGGGAGGAACCCUGAUCCAGCCAUGCCGCGUGUGUGAAGAAGGCCUUAUGGUUGUAAAGCACUUUAAGCGAGGAGGAGGCUCUUUUGGUUAAUACCCAAGAUGAGUGGACGUUACUCGCAGAAUAAGCACCGGCUAACUCUGUGCCAGCCGCCGCGGUAA
Molecule: ribosomal RNA, 507 nt
Filed under: uncultured bacterium
Lineage: Bacteria
Description: partial 16S ribosomal RNA
Rfam family: Bacterial small subunit ribosomal RNA
Source: RNAcentral